AUGAGGCGUGAAGGGAGGGACGCGCGCGGCCACGCUCCCCGCAGGACGCGGCUCCGGACCCGGCGUCGGGGCUCCGCGGGACCCAGGUGUUCCCGAGGGGAAGAAACUGGCAGAAAGUGGACGCCUCCGCCCGCUGCCCCCCCCCCCCCACACACACACACAGGUAACGGCACCACAGCUGCCUUCCGCACACGCGGCUCCCGGCGCCAACGCCAACGCCUCCGCGCCCUCCGGGACCCUCCGACCCCGGCUCAAGCUCCUCCCCGCCCGCGGGCCCCGGCGGGAGCGGCGGCGGCGGCGGCGGGGAGCGGGGAGCGGGGAGCGGGCCGCGCUCGCUGCCAUUGGCUGUGCGGCCCGAGGGGCGGGGGCCCCGCAGUCCCGCCGGCUCCGCGGCCCCGGCUCCCGCCCGCCCUCCCGCAGCCGGUGCGCUCGAGCCCUGCGCUCCCCGGACGGCCGCGCGGGGGCGGGGCGCCGAGGCGGGGGCGGGGGCGGGGCGCGGCGGGGCGCGGGCGGGGCGCGGGCGGGGAGCUCAGCGCAGCUCCAGUCCGGGCCGGGCCGGCGCGCCGCGGGAGGGGAGGUCGCCGCGCGCGGGCUCGCAGGUCAGUGCAGGCUCCCGGCGCCGCCUCGAGCGGGGCGGGGCGUGGGGGCCGGGGCCGGGGCGGGGGCCGGGGCGCCGGGCCCUGGGGGCGGGCUCGCCCUCCGCGGGGAGCGCCCUGCCUCCUCUCCUGGGGCGGCCUCCGCUCCCUCCGAGCGCCCCCCCCGCGGCUCUCCGCGGCUCCCAGGGGUGUGGCUCCGUCCUGGGAGCCCCCUGAGUGCAUCCCCUCGGCGGCCAGCAGGCUCCGCGGGUCGGCGGUCGCGAUCCUCGGGAGGACCCGGCGGGGCUGCGCAGGGCCGCGGCCCCGGGACGACCCGCUCCUGUCCCGGACACAGCCGGGAGGAUCUGCCCUCGCGAGCGCUGCUGCAAGCAUUGAUUCCGCCGUCAAGUGGUCGUCUGUCCCCUCCGGGCACUCCCCGCGUGCACUGCCGGCCUUGCACCUUCGCGCGCCCGCAGAGCCUUUGCACCCGUCUUAGGUGCUUCAAAUCCGGGCAGAAUGCUCUGAAGAGAUUGACACAUGUUCAUGGUUCUCAUUAAAGAAGCUUCAUGUAAGGUAAGAUCCAUUCCAUUUUCCCUGCUGUUCGUUCAAUUCAACAGAUUUUAUUGGAUGUCUAUGAUGUGCACAAGCUUGUCAGGAGUUAAGGGAUAAAUAAUGGUGUGAUGACAUGUGGCAUCAAAUCCAUCAGAGGAUUUAUUUGCAGGUUUCCUAAGAGGUUUCUUUUCAUUUUUUUUUCUUUCUCUUUUUCUUUCUUUUUUUUUUUUUUUAAUGAAGGCAGAUGAAGGAGGACAGCGAUUG
This 1391-nucleotide long non-coding RNA is filed under the name Canis lupus familiaris (dog). RNAcentral describes it as "lncRNA (ENSCAFG00040009973.1)". The record is from RNAcentral. Lineage: Eukaryota; Metazoa; Chordata; Mammalia; Carnivora; Canidae.